GCUAGCGUAGCUUAACGAAAGCAUAACUUUGAAGCAGUUAAGAUAGGCCAUAAUCAGGCCUCGCGGGCAC
This 70-nucleotide transfer RNA is filed under the name Pseudotolithus senegallus (law croaker). RNAcentral describes it as "tRNA-Phe". Lineage: Eukaryota; Metazoa; Chordata; Actinopteri; Sciaenidae. The record is from RNAcentral.